Molecule: ribosomal RNA, 253 nt
Filed under: uncultured bacterium
Lineage: Bacteria
Description: partial 16S ribosomal RNA
Rfam family: Bacterial small subunit ribosomal RNA
Source: RNAcentral
UACGUAGGUGGCAAGCGUUGUCCGGAUUUAUUGGGCGUAAAGCGCUCGCAGGUGGUUCGUUGCGUCGUGCGUGAAAGACCCCGGCUCAACUGGGGAGGGUCGUGCGAUACGGGCGAACUGGAGGCCAGUAGGGGGAUGCGGAAUUCCGGGUGUAGUGGUGGAAUGCGUAGAGAUCCGGAGGAACACCAGCGGCGAAGGCGGCAUCCUGGACUGGUCCUGACACUCAUGAGCGAAAGCGUGGGGAGCGAUCCGG